AUUGAACGCUGGCGGCAGGCCUAACACAUGCAAGUCGAGCGGAUGAAGGGAGCUUGCUCCUGGAUUCAGCGGCGGACGGGUGAGUAAUGCCUAGGAAUCUGCCUGGUAGUGGGGGAUAACGUCCGGAAACGGGCGCUAAUACCGCAUACGUCCUGAGGGAGAAAGUGGGGGAUCUUCGGACCUCACGCUAUCAGAUGAGCCUAGGUCGGAUUAGCUAGUUGGUGGGGUAAAGGCCUACCAAGGCGACGAUCCGUAACUGGUCUGAGAGGAUGAUCAGUCACACUGGAACUGAGACACGGUCCAGACUCCUACGGGAGGCAGCAGUGGGGAAUAUUGGACAGUGGGCGAAAGCCUGAUCCAGCCAUGCCGCGUGUGUGAAGAAGGUCUUCGGAUUGUAAAGCACUUCAAGUUGGGAGGAAGGGCAGUAAGUUAAUACCUUGCUGUUUUGACGUUACCAACAGAAUAAGCACCGGCUAACUUCGUG
Molecule: ribosomal RNA, 484 nt
Filed under: uncultured bacterium
Lineage: Bacteria
Description: partial 16S ribosomal RNA
Rfam family: Bacterial small subunit ribosomal RNA
Source: RNAcentral